CAAAGAUUAAGCCAUGCAUGUCUAAGUACAAACUAUAUUAAAGUGAAACCGCGAAAGGCUCAUUAAAUCAGUUAUGGUUCCUUAGAUCGUACCACAAUUACUUGGAUAACUGUGGUAAUUCUAGAGCUAAUACAUGCAAACAGAGCUCUGACCGGAGACGGAAGGAGUGCUUUUAUUAGAUCAAAACCAAUCGGCGGCAGUAACAUUUCGGUGUUAUUGUUCGUCGCUCAAUAUAUGGUGAAUCUGAAUAACUUUAUGCUGAUCGCAUGGUCUUGUACCGGCGACGCAUCUUUCAAAUGUCUGCCUUAUCAACUGUCGAUGGUAGGAUCUGCGCCUACCAUGGUUGUAACGGGUAACGGGGAAUCAGGGUUCGAUUCCGGAGAGGGAGCCUGAGAAACGGCUACCACAUCCAAGGAAGGCAGCAGGCGCGCAAAUUACCCACUCCCGGCACGGGGAGGUAGUGACGAAAAAUAACGAUACGGGACUCAUCCGAGGCCCCGUAAUCGGAAUGAGUACACUUUAAAUCCUUUAACGAGGACCAAUUGGAGGGCAAGUCUGGUGCCAGCAGCCGCGGUAAUUCCAGCUCCAAUAGCGUAUAUUAAAGUUGUUGCGGUUAAAAAGCUCGUAGUUGAAUUUGUGUUCCGCACUGUCGGUUCACCGCCCGCGGUGCUAACUGGCAUGUUUGCGGAACGUCCUGCCGGUGGAUGUUCAGUAAAUAAUUUCGGUUAUUUACUACAUCCGACUUAUAAAUCCUGUCGCGGUGCUCUUAAUUGAGUGUCGAGGCGGGCCGGCACGUUUACUUUGAACAAAUUAGAGUGCUCAAAGCAGGCUAACUAAUGCCUGAAUAAUUAGUGCAUGGAAUAAUGAAACAGGACCUUGGUUCUAUUUUGUUGGUUUUCGGAACCCCAAGGUAAUGAUUAAUAGGGACAGAUGGGGGCAUUCGUAUUGCGACGUAGAGGUGAAAUUCUUGGAUCGUCGCAAG
Molecule: ribosomal RNA, 982 nt
Filed under: Hypharpax queenslandicus
Lineage: Eukaryota; Metazoa; Arthropoda; Insecta; Coleoptera; Carabidae
Description: SSU rRNA
Rfam family: Eukaryotic small subunit ribosomal RNA
Source: RNAcentral